UAACGUGUGGGCAACCUGCCCUGCACUGGGGAAUAAUCAUUGGAAACGAUGACUAAUACCGCAUACGGUUCCCGGGAGGCAUCUUCCGGGAAAGAAAGGAUUUAUUCGGUGCAGGAUGGGCCCGCAUCUGAUUAGCUAGUUGGUGAGAUAACAGCUCACCAAGGCGACGAUCAGUAGCCGACCUGAGAGGGUGACCGGCCACAUUGGGACUGAGACACGGCCCAAACUCCUACGGGAGGCAGCAGUGGGGAAUAUUGCACAAUGGGCGAAAGCCUGAUGCAGCAACGCCGCGUGAAGGAAGAAGGGUUUCGGCUCGUAAACUUCUAUCAACAGGGACGAAAGAAAUGACGGUACCUGAAUAAGAAGCCCCGGCUAACUACGUGCCAGCAGCCGCGGUAAUACGUAGGGGGCAAGCGUUAUCCGGAAUUACUGGGUGUAAAGGGUGAGUAGGCGGCAUGGUAAGCCAGAUGUGAAAGCCUUGGGCUUAACCCAAGGAUUGCAUUUGGAACUAUCAAGCUAGAGUACAGGAGAGGAAAGCGGAAUUCCUAGUGUAGCGGUGAAAUGCGUAGAUAUUAGGAAGAACACCAGUGGCGAAGGCGGCUUUCUGGACUGAAACUGACGCUGAGGCACGAAAGCGUGGGGAGCGAACAGGAUUAGAUACCCUGGUAGUCCACGCUGUAAACGAUCGAUACUAGGUGU
RNAcentral lists this ribosomal RNA (699 nucleotides) under uncultured bacterium. RNAcentral describes it as "bacterial SSU rRNA". It matches the Rfam family "Bacterial small subunit ribosomal RNA", at positions 111 to 823 of the family's 1533-position model. The record is from RNAcentral.